GGCGGUCACGGCGGGCUCCCGCGGCCCCGCACUUCUCCCUCCGCCACUCCUCACCCGCGGCGCCCACCCCUACGGCGCCCGGGGUUCGCGGCCCCGCGGCCGAGCGCGGAACUGCCCUGGGCGCUUUCCCGGGCUUGGCACGGAGGAUCCCCGCGGGGAUCUCAGGGCUCGCGCGGGCGAUGCGCAGCGAAGAAAGACGAGGAGCUGUGUUCGUGCCGGGUGCCGUCGGAGCGCCAGGAGGCGGGGUGCGCUCGCCGCCCCCACCCCCCAGGUCGGGGUGGGGAUGCUGGCAAUUGAGAACCCCCGCGGCGAGGUCCCGUCAUCUCUGCGGGGCCUGAGCGCAGAGCCCUGGGCUGCUGGCGCUUUGGCCUUGGAUGGAAAGUGGGGAAGGGCUCCGGACCCCUAACGUGGAUUACUUGGUGUGUGUCAACCGGGCUCAGAAGACCCACGACCUCGCCUCCAUGCUUGGAUCGAUUCAUUCUACCUGUAGCGGUCGGGUCGCUUACCUGGAGGUGAAAUCAGAGCUUUGAGGCUGACCUGGGGAGGUGCUCCGAGCCAAGAAAAGAAGGACAAGAAAGAAGGCCCGGCAAGGGGGAGCGGCUAAGGACCACUCUGUCUCGCUCACCGUUCUCUCCAGCAAGCUAGCGGGAGCCAAGCUCUACCAUCGCCACCCUGCAAAGGACCCCGCUAAGAUGGGACCAUCUCUCUUAAGAGGCAAGAGCUCUGGAUCUGAUUAAGAAUUCUUGCUUUGGAGAAUGAAGAAACUUGUGGAUUUCAGAAGAUGUUGAAGGAGAAAGCAAAGACCCUUGCACCGAGGAGAGAAGUCUGUGUAUGGCCCUGUGUGCGCCGGACGUGACCUCCAGCCGGACGAGUCAGCAUCAUCGCAGACCUUGCCAUUCCUCCUUGUGGAAAACGUUUCCUCUGCCGCGGCUGCCCCUCCGUCUCCCCUGCCCCCAAUGCCCGGAAACCGAAAGGCUUUUCCACCACACCCUCGCCGGCCCCCCAGCUCCCGCGUCUGCUGUGCCUUUGGACUCGGCAAUUCGUGUUUGUUCCAUUAUCUUCCAGCCGGAUACAGAGUGAAUUGUUAACCACACUCAGGUCAAAUGGGAUUUUAAUUUUUGUUCCUGUUCCUUCUAAAGAAGCCGAUGUUUGUGUUGCUAUAUGAGCAGCACCGGCGUCCAACGUCCUCUUGCUUCUUGCGGAUCCGGGCCCUCGGAUUCCAGAGCGAUGCAGGUCAGGGCAGAAGUUCUUUGGGACCUCAGAGGUCGGGGACCCUGGAGGGGGCUCCUGUAGGGGCGCUGGGGUCCUCCAUGUCCAGCUUUCUUUGCUUGGAUCCCACACAGCUGUCUUCUGUUGACACAGACGCGCCACCAGCUGUGAAGACCCUUCCCUCAGAUGGCGGUGGGGGCCCGUGCCAGCGCCUGGUGUGGCGUCACUGGCCGUCUAGCGACCGGAGCUGGUGUGUCUAUUGUCGACCCUCUUCGCCCCCGAGGACACUCCUGAUGGCCGAUCGGGCCCCCUCGAGACACGAGUCCUGUUUGCUCCUUCCCUCCUGAGCCGCCGUGCCCAUGGCUGAAGACCCUUCUCGAGUGGACCUUGUCUCAGUCAUAGGACCAACAACGUCCAUCUGUUCUCCUGCUAAAGCAAAGGGACGGCUUGCCGUUGUAGAAGGAAUUAAGGCCACACACGUCGACCUUCUCCUCGUUGUAGGGAUGUGUUUCUGUGACCCCGGAGCGACGUCCCCGUCUGGUCAGUGGAGCAGUGGCGUCCAUCUUGGCCUCUCAGAGUCCCCACAAAAUGAGCGAGGACAGCCUCCCGAGGCCGUGUCCUGCUGUUGAAAUCUAAGUCUUGUUGGUGGGCUUUGGUCUUCCUUGAGGUGCACACAGGUUUGUCAUACCGGUUAGAGUCCUUGGGGUUUCAAGGAACAGAGACCCACUUAGAUCACCCCCAUUCACGUGGGUUUAUUCCAAGCCGCUCUGGAAGUAAGGUAGACAGGACCAGUCUGCCCAGCCGCUGCAGAGCGAGGCCUUUCUAGAAGCCUGAAGCCAUUCGAAACAUCCAUUCUCUAGACGGUUUCCGGGAACAGCAAGAACUCUUGAUGCCGUGUCAUUCUGAUCGUCUGCUCAGCAGUAGGGCGCGCUGCUCCAGAUUCUAGAAUUCUCCACUGAUGAUGAGCUAACAGUGCCAGCUGUCCCAGCUUGCCCCCGGCUGAGAGAUGUCUGGGGACACACGACUUCCACUGAUAAACUUGGGACAGUCCUGGGCAAACUAGAACAAUUGGCCACCCUCCUGGGUGGCUUGAUGACAUCGCGUCUGCUGUGUUAUCUGCCGUAGCUCGCUGAUGCUCUUAAGAGGCCUGGCCAGCUGCCAUCAGAGCCACAACGUCUGGCCACAUUGUUGACCACUGGGCAGCCUACAGAUGGAGGCCGUUGGCUCAAGCACUUAGUCCUGACCAUGUCAGGUGUUUGCCGGGUGGUAGGGCGGCAUGAUACUGAAUUACAACCUGGGGACAAUGAACCAGCUGAGACCACGUCCUUCAGAAGAGGGGCUGUGGAUAGUGGAGACGGGAACCACGCAGGGUAUCAGGGAUUCCUCGCCAACACAGUCCUCCUCCAAAUAGGUGAAGCUCAUAACCUUCCUUGGUAAGGACAGAGCAGUUCAUUCGGAGACAAAAACUCCCACAGCCACUGGGAAGGGUGGGGAACCAGACUACGCCUGUCUCAGAGACAUGCACGUACCACGGAGAAUGAGCCAAGAAGAAAACUCUGCGUCUUUGCUAGAGAGAGAGUAAGAGCUAAAAUCAUCGAGAUGGGUUUGUCUAGGGAGCGAAGGAGUUGGCUGGAGAACCUCCUGAAAUGCCUUUGAACUCUAGGAGUCUUUGAAAUACUGAAGGGCGUGUCAGUGGGACCUAAGUGUGUGCUUUCCCUCCAAAGAUCACCUCCCGAGUUCCACCCCGAUCGUGUCGAAUGGGACCUCCCAGCUCCCUCUUCCUUCUCCAGACACUGACUUUAUCUGGGAUAAGGGAGCGGAACUUGGUGGUCGUGGUCGUGGGCGGUGGAGGAGGACGGGAAGGUUGUACCUGCCCAACGUUUGGUGUUCUUGACAAGUAAGAACAAUCUGAAGGCAAAUUACAGGUUCUUUUCGGGUUAGUCAAAGCCAGGCUCUCGGGAUUGCAUGCCAUCCUGAAGCUGUUGCUUCUUGUCAGGGGAUCAGGCCUCCAUCUUUUCUGCUGAAAGACGGGCGUGAGCGUCUGCGGUGUUGGAACGCGAGCCUGCGGCUCGUCCUACCCACCCCCUGCACGCUGUGACCACACAGGGGGGUCAUUGCCUGCUAAGGCAGAGACGUGCAUGCAAACGUCGAGGAACCCGACUCUCAUUACCCCUGUGCGAAGAUUGAGAUCCCCUGUGCACCCGAGGCUUUGCCCCUGUUCUGACUCUGUGCCUUCGCUGCUGGUAGAGAAAGGCUAGCCCAGCACGUGAGGCACCGCUUUUCCUUUUAAAAAGAUGAACUCAUUUCAGACGUGCCCUUCCUUCAUGGCCCACGUACCGUCUUGGGUUCCAGAAAUCUCACUGUUGUGCCAAAGGCAACCAUCUCCUCUUCCUCUCUCUUCCUAUCUUCUUAUCCGCAUAGGACCCCAGAAUCCCAGAGUUCAUGGUCUAAAAGCAUCACGUUUUUCUAGAUUUACCUCUGACUGAGGCAGGAAUCAUCUGACUGAUGAGGGAUCGCCCAGGCCUGGGGGAGGCAGCGUUUUUGGCGGAGUGGGGGAGGGACAAGAGAGGGUGAGGGGGAGGAAUGACAUUCUGCCCCAUAGGGGAGGCAGUAGGAUUGUGAAGAGCAGUUCGUGGGCUGCCUAGAGACCAUGAACAUCAACUUCCCAAUGAGAUUCUGAGGCAGGUGCACUGUCCCCACCCCCCACCCCGGCGUGGAUCCGUCUCUUACUUCUCGGUCCGGGGUGACUUCUGCUGAUAAAUAGCACAGAGUGGGGAGAUGAGGAAAUCUGAGAUUUUGUCUCCGAAAGCCCCUCGUCUUCGUUCCUUCCCCGUAAAACGGAGGAGUCAGGCCACGUGAUCCCUGAAGCCUCUUGGGUCUCUGACUGCCGCAGCGCCGUCAUCGUUCCCUGAGCCCGUGACCUGAAGCUUUGCUGGGUUUUGCUCCAUGUGCGAAGAGUAAAUCAGGUGUUGCCCAAGGUAUGGAGGAAAGGCAUGUCCUCUGUGGGCUGAGGGCGCUCCUCUUACUCCAAUCCGUUAUGAACGUAACCUCAAGUUAGGGCCCCGUCCCGGGAUUUUGCUCAGACUUUCCUGUGAGAUCUCCCCGUCGCAUCAAAGCUUUACCCACAGGGACCUGUUAUCCUCUUCAAAGGGCCCCCCAAACCCCAGUGUUGAUGGAGAAAUAGAAGGGUCUAAUGGUGAAGUAUGGUCCUCUGCUCAGGGGAAUGUGGUUUACAGGGCAUAAGGGUGACCUUGGGAAUGGCCACUGACCUUGGAGAAGACCGUCGUGCGAGGCUGGUGGGAAGCAGGGCUGGGUCCCCCCGCCUCCGCUUCUGAGUAAGACCUUCCAUGACCAGGCUGGCAAGAGCUCUGAACCACGGGGUCUGGAAGUCUGUCCUCUAGUCCUACCUUAACCUCAGCCCCAAGGCCCUUUUCUGUGGUCUCAGUCUUCUCACCCACAAACUGGGAGGGGGAAGCGGAAGUGGGCGGUGCAGGGGAUCCUCUAGGAUCCAUCCCUCCCCUGUGUCCAGUUCUCAGCCCCGCCGACCCCGCGGAGGCCUGCCUGUUCUCUGACAAGGAGCUCUUCUCCCUUUGCCUUCGGCGGCACAAGCCGAAAGCAGGGCUGUCCUGGGAAGUCCAUUACCAAAGAACACUUCAAAGCUGUUUGCACUCGUCAGUCGCACUGAACUUGAGUUUGUUGAGGGAGAAGGCAAAUAGACAUAUAGACGGAUGGCAGACACGGGGAAGGGGCUGCUCUCUGCCCGGGGUGACCGAGGGGGAAGAGAGCUGCCUAUCGUUCUGACCAGUGAAUAAAAACCGGGGGCUCUGCGUGGCUACAACUGGAGGGGAUUUAUGAGUUUGCUUAGUGAAAGGCAAAUAUUAAGUCUUAAGUUGACCCGUCCUGGGACCUGCCUCUUGGCUUUUGUAUGCCGUCCGGCACCGAUCACUGUGUACUUCGGGUUAUCAAGUUCUGUCAAAGGGUUUUGGUUGUGUGUUUUUUUUUUUUUUAAAUUGCUUCCCGUGUCCUUCUCCUUUCCUCCCUCCUUUGCCUGCCUCCCCCUGCUAUUACUGCCACUCAGGGCUGGGUUUUAAAGAGAUAGGGAAGGCGGAGUGUGGAAGACAUGUUGUCACGUUGUCCUGUUCACAAAGCUGGUUGCAUUUGGGCUUCCGCUGGCUUCGGAAUGGCCCACCGGCCGGGGUGGAGGCUGGGGACCAAGUGGUCCUCGUGGGUCCCCCUCUGCCCUUGGCCCUGAACAUAAAUCUGGGCAUAGGAAAAAGAUAGGCAUCACCUGUUUAGCUGUAACCUUUCCUUCCUAUGUGACUGUUGGUGCUGAACAGUGGCUGGUGACCUCAGCCAGAUGUCCUGCGGGAUGAGCCGCUGAAGAUAGUGCCGGGAACGCUAACUGGGGUCUGACCAGAGCCAGUCACCAUCCAGGGAGCGAAAUGUCCCGACCAAAGGGGCUGGACAGGCACCUGGUCUCUCCAGUUUCCAAGUAUGAGCUGCAAUGAAGUUAAACUACAUGGAAUGUUUUUUUUUUUAAAAAAAUAUUUAAUUUAUUUUUUUGACAGUCAGAGGCAGAGUGUGCA
Long non-coding RNA from Neogale vison (American mink), 5795 nucleotides. RefSeq lists it as uncharacterized. The transcript has 4 exons. The record is from RefSeq and is a predicted model, not a curated record. NCBI's taxonomy places the organism in Eukaryota, Metazoa, Chordata, Mammalia, Carnivora, Mustelidae.